GAGCGAACGCUGGCGGCAGGCUUAACACAUGCAAGUCGAGCGGGCCUUUCGGGGUCAGCGGCGGACGGGUGAGUAACGCGUGGGAACGUGCCCUCUGGUUCGGAAUAACUCAGGGAAACUUGAGCUAAUACCGGAUACGCCCUUUUGGGGAAAGGCUUGCUGCCGGAGGAUCGGCCCGCGUCUGAUUAGCUAGUUGGUGAGGUAACGGCUCACCAAGGCGACGAUCAGUAGCUGGUCUGAGAGGAUGAUCAGCCACACUGGGACUGAGACACGGCCCAGACUCCUACGGGAGGCAGCAGUGGGGAAUAUUGGACAAUGGGCGCAAGCCUGAUCCAGCCAUGCCGCGUGAGUGAUGAAGGCCUUAGGGUUGUAAAGCUCUUUUAUCCGGGACGAUAAUGACGGUACCGGAGGAAUAAGCCCCGGCUAACUUCGU
RNAcentral lists this ribosomal RNA (433 nucleotides) under uncultured bacterium. RNAcentral's name for it is "partial 16S ribosomal RNA". It matches the Rfam family "Bacterial small subunit ribosomal RNA", at positions 27 to 506 of the family's 1533-position model. The record is from RNAcentral.